Chelydra serpentina (North American snapping turtle) is the source of this 408-nucleotide long non-coding RNA. The record is from Ensembl. NCBI's taxonomy places the organism in Eukaryota, Metazoa, Chordata, Testudines, Chelydridae.
AUGGCCAAACUAAAAAGUGACAAAGAAACACAACUUGAAGAUCUGACAGAAGCCUUGGAGAGGUCAGUAAAACUUCAAAAAGAUUUGGAGCAGCAGCUGCUGUGUGAACAAUCAGAAAAAAUGAUAUUAAUAAAAGAGAGAGAAAUUAAGGACUCUGACCACUCAGAGUUUAAGGAACAAGUUCAAAGACUUUUAUCUGAAAAGAAACAUCUUGAGAUCACUAUUGAGAAAUUACAAAAGAGAGAAAAAGAGAUGAAGGAUAUUCUUCAAAUCAGAGAGAAAGAAGUAUAUGAUUUGGAAGUACAGUUAACUGGUGCAGUUGAAAAUGAACAAAAUUGUUUAAAACAGAUUACAGCACUGAAUGCAGAGCUUGAAAAAGAGAUGUAUGAUUUUAUUUUUAAUUGUUAC